CAUGGGCUGACGAACCUGAGAUUGACCCUCAUGUUUCACCAUUCUCAGGUUAGACAGUCCUCGA
This 64-nucleotide microRNA precursor is filed under the name Gallus gallus (chicken). Its description in RNAcentral is "microRNA gga-mir-1388b precursor". The record is from miRBase by way of RNAcentral. Lineage: Eukaryota; Metazoa; Chordata; Aves; Galliformes; Phasianidae.